UACGAAGGGGGCUAGCGUUGCUCGGAAUUACUGGGCGUAAAGGGCGCGUAGGCGGGUCGUUUAGUUAGAGGUGAAAGCCCAGGGCUCAACCCUGGAAUUGCCUUUAAUACUGGCGGCCUUGAGUAUGGCAGAGGUGUGUGGAACUCCGAGUGUAGAGGUGAAAUUCGUAGAUAUUCGGAAGAACACCAGUGGCGAAGGCGACUCACUGGACACGUAUUGACGCUGAGGUGCGAAAGCGUGGGGAGCAAACAGG
This 253-nucleotide ribosomal RNA is filed under the name uncultured bacterium. RNAcentral's name for it is "partial 16S ribosomal RNA". It matches the Rfam family "Bacterial small subunit ribosomal RNA", at positions 524 to 776 of the family's 1533-position model. The record is from RNAcentral.